RNAcentral lists this microRNA precursor (144 nucleotides) under Gossypium hirsutum (cotton). Its description in RNAcentral is "MIR7502 microRNA precursor family". It matches the Rfam family "MIR7502 microRNA precursor family". RNAcentral also lists the same sequence under 1 other name. Lineage: Eukaryota; Viridiplantae; Streptophyta; Magnoliopsida; Malvales; Malvaceae. The record is from Rfam by way of RNAcentral.
UAUUAAAAUUUUUAUUUAUUUAUGUUGUCAAAAAGUGGUGUGGUUAACGGAAGAAUCAAAUAAUGAUAUAUGGUAUGUCAUAUGUACUUCAUGCUGACAUACAAUAAUUAAUUUUUAACAAUAGAAAUGAAUGAAUUUUUAAUA